GGAUGUGAGGGCGAUCUGGCUGUGACAAUUGUCACCCCAUUGAUCUCCAGGGUUGAUUCGGCUGAUCUGGCUGGCUAGGCGGGUGUCCCCUUCCUCCCUUAGGGCUCCAUGUGCAUCCCUUCCUAAGCUGUGCGCUAGGUCAAAGAGGAAGGCCUUCCCUGAAUACAGAUGGACCGGUCUUUGGUCGAGGGUAUAGAAGUAGCUGUGCUCCCCUGCUAGAACCUCCAAACAAGCCCUCAAGUAUCGGAAAGCUAUUGGGGGAGGGGAUGGGCUACGAUGUUCUGGUGGUGGGAACUGUGUAGAGUUGUACCCCUCUUAUC
This 320-nucleotide small nuclear RNA is filed under the name Erinaceus europaeus (western European hedgehog). RNAcentral describes it as "7SK RNA (ENSEEUG00000018526.1)". The stretch from base 1 to 283 matches the Rfam family "7SK RNA". From Rfam's summary of the family: 7SK was discovered as an abundant small nuclear RNA in the mid-70s but a possible function has only recently been suggested. Two independent studies have found that 7SK RNA binds the CDK9/cyclin T complex (known as elongation factor P-TEFb). P-TEFb activates transcription by phosphorylating the C-terminal domain of RNA polymerase II. The record is from Rfam by way of RNAcentral. Lineage: Eukaryota; Metazoa; Chordata; Mammalia; Eulipotyphla; Erinaceidae.